UUAAUUGCCCCCUGCAAAAGAGAUUUUUGCAGCGUACAUAGUAAAAGCCCCCUGCAAUAGACCUUUUAUUUUGCAGCGUACAUGGUAAAAGCCCCCUGCAAUAACAUAUUUGUAAUUUUUUUCGCUGCAACUUUAACUCAGACCAAACAUUUCUACCUCAAACCUCAUGACCAAUUUCGCAGCGAAUAUCCCACUCUCAUUACUCCCUUCUUCUUCUCUCGGCUUACCCUGCGUCUCGCCGGUGGUUCUCACCAGUGGUCGUCGCCGCGUGGUCUCGCCCGUCGCCGGUGGUACUCUAGCAAGAGUCUAUUUAAUUUCCUCACCUCUCACCGGUGGUUCCCUGCUCGAAAAACCCCCGCAAAAGGUAUUCCCUGCUCGAAAAAACAACCGGCGAAGUGAUUCCCUGCUCGGAAAACUAAGCUUCUUUGCUCGGCCGGUUCGCGAACCCUGUUCUCCGUCAAUCCUCGCUGCGGCAAAGAAAGCCAAAGAAAUUGUUGGCUGACAAGAUUAGGAGAAAAUACAUACGUUUAUCUCGGAGACUUCCUCCACCCUUUUGAAGGGCGCAUAUACCAGUAAAAAACCGUACUGUUAUAGUACUCGAGACAGAUACUGGAGAACAAUACGAAGCCAAUUAUCUGCCUCAAUAUCGUGGACUCAGUGGUGGGUGGAAAAGGUUUGCCAUAGUUCUGAAAUUGG
Long non-coding RNA from Spinacia oleracea (spinach), 696 nucleotides. RefSeq lists it as uncharacterized. Lineage: Eukaryota; Viridiplantae; Streptophyta; Magnoliopsida; Caryophyllales; Amaranthaceae. The record is from RefSeq and is a predicted model, not a curated record. The transcript has 3 exons.